GACGAACGCUGGCGGCGUGCUUAACACAUGCAAGUCGAACGGAAAGGCCAUGCUUUUGCGGGGUGCACGAGUGGCGAACAGGUGCGUAACACGUGAGUAACCUGCCCUUGACUUUGGGAUAACUUCAGGUAACUGUGGCUAAUACCGGAUAGGAGCUCCUGCUGCUUGGUGGGGGUUGGAAAGUUUCGGCGGGUUGGGAUGGAGUCGCGGGUUAUGAGCCUGUCGGUGGGGUAGUGUCUUAGCAAGGUAUUGACGGGUCGCCGGACUGAGAGGGUGACCGGGCACAGAGGGACUGAGGUAGGGCCAAGACGGAUACGGGAGGCAGCGGUGGGAGAUUGUGCACGAUGGGCGGAAGGCGGAUGCAGCAACGCCGCGUGGGAGAUGACGGUCGUAGGGGUGGAAAGCGCGUUAGACUGGAACGAACAGUGUGUGACGGUAAUUGGUAAGAAAGCACCGGCUAACUACGUG
RNAcentral lists this ribosomal RNA (468 nucleotides) under uncultured bacterium. RNAcentral describes it as "partial 16S ribosomal RNA". It matches the Rfam family "Bacterial small subunit ribosomal RNA", at positions 28 to 507 of the family's 1533-position model. The record is from RNAcentral.